RNAcentral lists this ribosomal RNA (324 nucleotides) under uncultured bacterium. RNAcentral describes it as "bacterial SSU rRNA". It matches the Rfam family "Bacterial small subunit ribosomal RNA", at positions 28 to 334 of the family's 1533-position model. The record is from RNAcentral.
GAUGAACGCUGGCGGCGUGCUUAACACAUGCAAGUCGAACGAAGCACUUGAGAUUGAAUCUUCGGAUGAGAACUCUUGUGACUGAGUGGCGGACGGGUGAGUAACGCGUGGGUAACCUACCUCAUACAGGGGGAUAACAGUUGGAAACGACCGCUAAUACCGCAUAACCCGCUAGUAUCACAUGAUACAGACGGAAAAGAUUUAUCGGUAUGAGAUGGACCCGCGUCUGAUUAGCCAGUUGGCAGGGUAACGGCCUACCAAAGCGACGAUCAGUAGCCGGCCUGAGAGGGUGAACGGCCACAUUGGGACUGAGACACGGCCCAA